UGGGGAAUUGUUCGCAAUGGGCGCAAGCCUGACGACGCAACGCCGCGUGGAGGACGAAGAUCUUCGGGUCGUAAACUCCUGUCGAGCGGGAAGAAUGGGUCUGGGGUGAAUACCCUCAGGCCGUGACGGUACCGCUAAAGGAAGCCCCGGCUAACUCCGUGCCAGCAGCCGCGGUAAUACGGGGGGGGCAAGCGUUGUUCGGAAUUACUGGGCGUAAAGGGCUCGUAGGCGGCCAACUAAGUCAGAUGUGAAAUCCCCAGGCUCAACCUGGGAACUGCAUCUGAUACUGGAUGGCUUGAAUCCGGGAGAGGGAUGCAGAAUUCCAGGUGUAGCGGUGAAAUGCGUAGAUAUCUGGAGGAAUACCGGUGGCGAAGGCGGCAUCCUGGACCGGCAUUGACGCUGAGGAGCGAAAGCUAGGGGAGCAAACGG
Molecule: ribosomal RNA, 429 nt
Filed under: uncultured bacterium
Lineage: Bacteria
Description: bacterial SSU rRNA
Rfam family: Bacterial small subunit ribosomal RNA
Source: RNAcentral